Molecule: transfer RNA, 73 nt
Filed under: Bos taurus (domestic cattle)
Lineage: Eukaryota; Metazoa; Chordata; Mammalia; Artiodactyla; Bovidae
Also listed under: 2 other names
Rfam family: tRNA
About the family: Transfer RNA (tRNA) molecules are approximately 80 nucleotides in length. Their secondary structure includes four short double-helical elements and three loops (D, anti-codon, and T loops). Further hydrogen bonds mediate the characteristic L-shaped molecular structure. tRNAs have two regions of fundamental functional importance: the anti-codon, which is responsible for specific mRNA codon recognition, and the 3' end, to which the tRNAs corresponding amino acid is attached (by aminoacyl-tRNA synthetases). tRNAs cope with the degeneracy of the genetic code in two manners: having more than one tRNA (with a specific anti-codon) for a particular amino acid; and 'wobble' base-pairing, i.e. permitting non-standard base-pairing at the 3rd anti-codon position.
Source: Rfam by way of RNAcentral
UCCCUGGUGGUCCAGUGGUUAAGACACUGUGCUUCCAAUGCAGGGGAAGCGGGUUCAAUCCCUGGUCAGGGAA